RNAcentral lists this ribosomal RNA (254 nucleotides) under uncultured bacterium. RNAcentral's name for it is "partial 16S ribosomal RNA". It matches the Rfam family "Bacterial small subunit ribosomal RNA", at positions 524 to 776 of the family's 1533-position model. The record is from RNAcentral.
UACGUAGGGUGCAAGCGUUGUCCGGAAUUAUUGGGCGUAAAGAGCUCGUAGGCGGUUCGGUAAGUCGGGUGUGAAACCUCCAGGCUCAACCUGGAGACGCCACCCGAUACUGCUGUGACUAGAGUCCGGUAGGGGAGCGUGGAAUUCCUGGUGUAGCGGUGAAAUGCGCAGAUAUCAGGAGGAACACCAGCGGCGAAGGCGGCGCUCUGGGCCGGAACUGACGCUGAGGAGCGAAAGCGUGGGGAGCAAACAGG